AGCCCAAGAAAUAAAAGUUCACGUCUCGCAUUUUUGUUUCUUUGGAAAUCGACGAGUAAAAAUCCGAUCCGAUCCGACCAACCUCCUAUUCUGUCCUCUCCUAUUCUAUCCGAUCUGAAAGAAGCCCACUUAAAGACAGUGAUGUAGCUGUCGUCGGGCUCAUUGAGUGACUUCUCUUGCACCUCGUGCACAUAACGCGUCGUAUGGUCGGUCGUGCAUUUCGAACGACGGCUUACAAGGAAGGAGUUGCAUUAAAUCGAAUAUCGUCGUACGAAAAAAAAAAAGAAAUCUCUGCUAGCUCUCUUGUUCACUGAUCGAAGGAUACAUAAGUAGGAUGUAUUAUUAAACUUUUAGAAUCCUACUCUUUGUUUUGAAAAAAUUCCUUUUGAUCUUUUUACCUUAGUAUAUCAUCAAUAUUAUUGACGUGACGUUUUUAAUUUUUUAGCAACGUGAAAUUACAUGAGCCGAUUGAUCGAUGGAACGACGCAUCACAAUCUUUUCUUGAUGAGGAAGCAACUUUUAAAUUAUUAGAAAAAAGUGAGAGUGCAUAUCUUAACUAUAAUUAGAUAAAAUAAUAUAUACAAGAAUAAAAGGAAAUCUCAAUGGAUUGGAAGUGUAUAAUCCUCGAAAGAAAAGUGCAAUGAAACUAGAUAUCUAUCUACGUAUAUUAAUUGUAAGACUAUCAUAUUAGUAAUAAUUAUUG
Vespa velutina is the source of this 703-nucleotide long non-coding RNA. RefSeq lists it as uncharacterized. The record is from RefSeq and is a predicted model, not a curated record. The transcript is spliced from 3 exons. Lineage: Eukaryota; Metazoa; Arthropoda; Insecta; Hymenoptera; Vespidae.